GUAGGUGGCAAGCGUUGUCCGGAAUUAUUGGGCGUAAAGCGCGCGCAGGCGGGUCCUUUAAGUCUGAUGUGAAAGCCCACGGGCUCAACCGUGGAGGGUCAUUGGAAACUGGGGGGCUUGAGUACAGAAGAGGAAAGCGGAAUUCCAAGUGUGGCGGUGAAAUGCGUAGAGAUUUGGAGGAACACCAGUGGCGAAGGCGGCUUUCUGGUCUGUAACUGACGCUGAGGCGCGAAAGCGUGGGGAGCAAACAGGAUUAGAUACCCUGGUAGUCCACGCCGUAAACGAUGAGUGCUAAGUGUUAGGGGGUUUCCGCCCCUUAGUGCUGCAGCUAACGCAUUAAGCACUCCGCCUGGGGAGUACGGCCGCAAAGGCUG
Molecule: ribosomal RNA, 374 nt
Filed under: uncultured organism
Description: partial 16S ribosomal RNA
Rfam family: Bacterial small subunit ribosomal RNA
Source: RNAcentral